Molecule: non-coding RNA, 4477 nt
Organism: Chelonoidis abingdonii (Abingdon island giant tortoise)
Lineage: Eukaryota; Metazoa; Chordata; Testudines; Testudinidae
Source: RefSeq, a predicted model, not a curated record
CCCUGCCUAAAUGAUAUGUUUCCCGUCUGCCUCUGUUGCAUUGGGGUGAGAGUGCUCCUUUUUAUGAGACUAUACAGUCUUAUCACCAGAUGUGUGGUCGUUCACAAGAUCCCCAUUAAGAAUAGUUACCUCUCCUGGAAUUGCCGCAUGAACUCCUGCUUUAUUACACCUUAAAUGGCUGUCUCCUAAGAGCAGCUUUGUCUGCAGGGAGCUCUGUGUGGUGUUCGCUUGAGGCUCAGCAUAUGACAAUGCACUUUAGCAUCUCAAGCCUUGUUAACAGAAAACACGCUUGUUUGGUGUUACUGCUUCUAAACUCCCCUUGCUCCCAUCUGAACACUGCAGCAAAGGGUCUUUCUCUUUCCAAGGUAGCGAUUAGGGAUUGAGUGUCUGUGUCAGGAAUGCUCAUUUGUAGGUCCCUUUACUCUGCCAUCAGCUCUGCUAGCUGUUGGCAAGCCCUGCACACACCCUCUAUAACCAGCCAUAGGCAAUGCUGCUGCGAAGAUGUGCUGAGCUCCACUCUCUUCUUGGCUCUGCCAGCCUGCAAUGUGUCAAGCUGCUCUCAAAUCAGGAGCUUCCACAUGGCGUUGCACUUAGCUGCGCCAGAGACAGUGAAAAGUAGUUGGAGGAUUAUAAGAACAUGACUGUCUCAACGAUUGCAAAGGAGUCCAAACUUGCUGGGUAUCCUACAUGAGUCAAAAUGUUCUGCUUGCUCCUUGAAUAUGCUGUUCAUCUAUAAUGCUUCAAACAUGCAGAUCAGGAAGGAAUUUUCCUUUGUGUGUAUGGGCAGGGCCAGUGGAUUGUAUUCCACUCUAUCCUGAGAUUGCAGGGAGUGUGGUUGGACAUUGGGCAUUCUCCAUGUGCAGCAACAAUAGGGUUAAAUAGUCCCCCUGCAGUCCUUUAAUGGAGGCGCAGUUAUACAGAUGAACGUCUGUGUCCAGCAAGGUGCAGCCUCGAUUCUGAGUGUUGCUUUUCAGUUAAAGGCUCACAGCUCUUAGGGUGUCAGCCGAACAAGUCCUGCGGUGACGCUCCAGAGUAUUCAGUACAUAUGUGUGCAAUAAUGGCUGUCAGUGAGGGUAUUUCCUGGCCAUCUUGUAGGUCUAACAGAAUAUUUCCCUCUAGUCUUUUUGCCCUGGCACCCGGACCUCUGUGGUGCUGUUCAUGUGAUGUUUCGUGGACAGUGUUGGUCUCUUCCAGGAAGCUAGUGCCCAGGGCAGGACGCAGUGGCAAAGCAGGACUUCGUUGUGAGCACUGUUAGGGUUUGGCCUUGUGGAUCUCACACCGUGGGGUACAAAUGCGACUGGAUAUGCUGCAGACAGCCAGUGUCACAUUCAUCAAUGUGCUGGCUCUUCCCAAAGCCUCGUACCGCCAGUGCACCCCGGCAUGUUGGCCCCAGCAUGCCACGCUGUAUACUAGUGACUUCUCUGCCUGAGCCUGUCCCCGCUCUUCAACAGAGCACUGAAUGAAGGAAUGAAGCGGUCCAUGCUCCCACGCCAUAGGGGUGCUGACCCCGGUUACCGCCUGUUAACUGGAGCAGAACUGAUUCUCACACCCCCUUGAAAGCGCGUUUGGCAACGAGGUGAAUACGUCCAGUUGUGGAGGUGGCAAGGGACAGGGAAAUGCUGCAGAGCCCGAGACUUGGUAUCAGCAUUUCCUCAGGAGAAGCAAAGGAAAAAUGGGUUUCUCUCAGUCAGGGACUGACAGCAGGCAGGGUCCUACGCAUUCCGGCCCUUCCUCCUUCACAGUCCCAGACACCAGUGAUGGCAGCAGGCUGCUGUUUGCAAUUUGCUGUCUGGAUGUUGUUUUAUAUCUGCUAACUGGUAGCUUGCCUGGACCUCCUCCUGACCCUCCACCUCACAGUCCCUGUGCUGCCAGCCUCAUCCCUGGCCUCCCUUUCCCAUCCCAAUUCCUGCCCCUCGGAGUCUCUUCUUCCUUCCUUCCCUCCCCCCACUCCCUUGCUCCUGUUUACUCACCACCUCCUGUGGUCCCCUUCCCCUAGCCCUCCCCAGAGUAAAACAAACAAACUGCGAUAAGACUGUCUGACCUCUCUGCUGCUGCCUGAUCCCUUUCCCCACCCACUGCCUCUUGGGUCUCUUUUUAGACUCUUUAGGGACAUAGACCACAUCUUCCUCCAUUUCUUAAAAUGGUGUCUUGCAGGUGUAGUCUCUGAUCCUGACUGGGGCCUUUGGGUUGCACAGCAGCUUUAGGAUUGAUCAAGGCCCUCUUUAAAAACGGUAGCAGAUCUCAGAUAUCAUCAUGCUUAGCAUCAGUACAGCUUCCAAGUGCUUUAGACCAUAGGAAAUGUUUAUGCAUUAAUAUAGCAAGGGAGACGCAUCCAAAUUAGUUGAAACACAAUGUGCAUUAAUUGUAAGGUACGGGAGAGAGAACAUAGAGUAUAGAAGAUGUUAAACAUUAACUGCAUCUUCGCAUCCUUUGCCAGGGCUGUGGAAACUGUUCUAGAAGCUCUGCUGCAAAAGGGAAUGGAAAUACGAAGAUCUUCAGAAAUCUUAACUGAGUGAGCCUUGUAGGAGCCAAGGGUCUCGGACCCUAAUAGGGCUUGUCCUGUUCCCUUGAAAUGGGAUUUCUCUUUUGCCCACACACACGAUGGUCCGAUGGUCCUCGUGGGUGUAAAGGCUUCCCCCUUCAUUGGUGGCCUGUUCUGCUUGACGCAAACUUUCUAGAGAACACCAACGAGACAGGCAAUAAGCAGCGUUUCCUUGACCAGUUGUAGGGAAGUUGUGGGGCUGAAUUAACUUGUGGGGGUGACUCUGAUUUCAGUGAGUUUACACCAGGAAUUUAAAUUGGUCCUUCGGCCCAUUACAUGUCGGAACAGUUUCCUUGCAGAGAGUUCAAAACCAAUUUGUUUUCCUUUGCUGCAGGGAUGAGCAACCUUUUAUUUAUCAGGAGCCAUAGGCCCAGUGGAAAAAUGGAUGGCAGGCCACAAAUGUUCAACUCAGCUGCUCAGGGGGGCGCGGAGGCUCGGGGCUUCCCCACAGUAGGGCAAGCCAGCGCUCGAGGCUCCAGCCCUGCAGGGUGGCACUAAGACUCGGCUUCCGUUCUGCGGUGGGGGAGCUGGUGCUCACAGCUCCAGCCCCGUGGGCAGGAAGCCAUAAGCUUUGGUGCCCCUCAUGAGGCUGAAGCUGUGAGUGGUGGCUCGCCUGACCACAAGGGGAAGUCCCAUCCCGCCAGCCUUGGCAGGUGAGUUGAACAUGUGUGGCCUACAGGCUGGAUGAAACUGAGCAAGGGCCAGAUCCGGCCCACGGACCAAAGGUUCCCUACCCCUACUUUACUGGUACCAAUGGGCCUUGGGUAAACUACGCAGCCCCUAGCAGCACUGCUUAUGGAUUAGUGGUGAGUGCUGAUUUUUCCAAUCUCCAGAAGGAUGAAUGGACACACUCAACUCCAAAAUUGCAUUUCUCUGGAAAUGUUUAUCUACAUUAGGCUAUUAUCACUGAAAAGUUAGCCAGCAAUGACUUCAUCAACAGGAACAGGGUUAAGUGAAUUUAAAAAAGCCACUCUUAAACAGAGUUGACAUACAUGCAGGGUUUUGCACUGGUUUAACUAAAUCAGUUUAAAUUUAAACCUGUGCAACUUUCUCAUGCAUCCAAGCCCAGACAGUGUCAGACAUUCUCACCUUACCUGAAAAGACCUGCAUAAAUAUCAGUGGGAGAGCAGAAAAGCCCUUGCAUGUUUUUCAGGGCAUGUUUUUAAAGUCAGGCAAGGCUGUUUAAAGGGGGCUAUAGUUUUAAGUGUUUAAAUCAGGAUUGGAUGCGUUUCUAAACGAUAUGCUCUGGGGAUUAUUUGGGGGAAGUUCUAUGGGCUGUGUUAAACAGACGAUCGGGUUUGGUUCUGUCUGACCUCGGAAUCUUUGAAUAUAGCAGAAAUGGGAAUUUUUUUUAAAUGUAGUCAGUUUAAAAAAUUUGUAUCAUCAGUGUCCCAUUAAUAUCUCCCCCAUGCCCCCCCCCCAUUACGCCUAUGCCCUGGGGAGAGUUGAGGCAGCCAGUUGUGCAAACGAGCCUAAAAGUGCAGAUCAGCUCUGCAGAGUGUCCGAGACCCCUUACCCAGGAAUCCUGCUCCCUGUGUGCUGCCAAGUCCUAUCUGCCAAAGGUUUUGCUAGCUUGACUUUCAUUAGUAGAUCUUGACUCUUGGUAGAUCCAGUAUGUUUCCAGUGGGUGUGAAGCCAGGCUGCUCUCAGGGAAGAUGAUGGCCCCUUAAUGGCUGUGCUAGGAAUAAGCAGGGAAUGAGGCUGUGGGAGAGGAGGCAGCAGCGAGGGGAGCUGGGUUAGGACUUGUGGAGAGCAGGAAGUAGACUGGGGGAGGUGCAGGGAAUGUGGUGAGACAGAGGGGAAUACGAAUAUAGAGAAUGUGCAAGUGACCAGGAGCUCGGUGGGGAAGAGGAGACAGUGGGGGGAGCAUUGAGGGAGAAAGCAAGGCUGGAUAGGCAGCUGCCUUACUCGGUAGGGACGGGGGUAGAAUGGUAG